AAGACGCAGACCAGGAAGACCAAGAGCGAUAUGGAAAGAUGCAAUUGAGUCUGAUCUAAAAGUACUAAGAGUGAGCGACUGGAGAACGUUGGCGCGGAAUAGGUCCGAUUGGAGAAGAUUGCUGGAAGAGGCCAAAACCAAUAGUAGGUUGUAGUGCCCACCUAAGUAAGUAAAAAUAAAUUUUCAAAAUC
Molecule: long non-coding RNA, 191 nt
Organism: Bradysia coprophila
Lineage: Eukaryota; Metazoa; Arthropoda; Insecta; Diptera; Sciaridae
Source: RefSeq, a predicted model, not a curated record